UACGAAGGGGGCUAGCGUUGCUCGGAAUCACUGGGCGUAAAGCGCACGUAGGCGGCUUUUUAAGUCAGGGGUGAAAUCCUGGAGCUCAACUCCAGAACUGCCUUUGAUACUGGGAAGCUUGAGUCCGGAAGAGGUGAGUGGAACUCCGAGUGUAGAGGUGAAAUUCGUAGAUAUUCGGAAGAACACCAGUGGCGAAGGCGGCUCACUGGUCCGGUACUGACGCUGAGGCACGAAGGUCAGGGGAGCAAACGGG
Molecule: ribosomal RNA, 253 nt
Filed under: uncultured bacterium
Lineage: Bacteria
Description: partial 16S ribosomal RNA
Rfam family: Bacterial small subunit ribosomal RNA
Source: RNAcentral